Bubalus bubalis (water buffalo) is the source of this 354-nucleotide long non-coding RNA. RefSeq lists it as uncharacterized. The transcript is spliced from 3 exons. Lineage: Eukaryota; Metazoa; Chordata; Mammalia; Artiodactyla; Bovidae. The record is from RefSeq and is a predicted model, not a curated record.
AUAAAAAACCACAGAGAAGUCAUCUGCGAUGUCCACUGCCUGUUGACAGGAGGAUGUCAUCAGGAGGGGACCUGCACAAAGCACAUGGGAACCCAGAGGCAUAAGCUGGAAUUCUGAGCGUGGCUGACAUGGAAGAACGUGCCAUGUGACAGCCUCUCUUCCUAACAAAGGGCAGGAGCACAAAAGCAAAUGUGAAUCAGCUACAAUGGAGGACAGAUUCUACUGAAAAUGAACUGUUACUGAAAAGCAGAAAUUUAAGAAUAUCAGACUCCUCUCCAUUCCUGGCAAACUUAUCAAUCUGAUUUCCCCAAAACCAAUGAGAUGAGAAGGGAGAAAGGUGCUAGUUACACUCCA